This 1208-nucleotide long non-coding RNA is filed under the name Chrysemys picta bellii (western painted turtle). RNAcentral describes it as "lncRNA (ENSCPBG00000010736.1)". The record is from RNAcentral. Lineage: Eukaryota; Metazoa; Chordata; Testudines; Emydidae.
UCUGUUUCUGUUACUUUUUCUUGUGAUCACUGAACUUCCGCUUUCCUCUCUCUUCACAAGAAAUUUUUUAGAAUUAGAGACAAAACCAAGAAGAGGAAACCUUUGCAACCCUUCCUCUCAGAAGAAUGUAUUUUUUGGUGAUCCUGGCUUUUCUAGGACGAAUUACUGUGCUAGAUCCUACAAUGUGCUGUGAGUGUCAUAGGAAAUGCUCAGAGAACCGAGAUUCUGCUGAUGGCAAGGGAAGGAUGUUCAACAUGACCCAGGAGGAACACAGCAGCAUCCCAGAAGCACACAAGCUUACAGGUUUGGGCCCUUAAUGAUGCUUGUAACCUGCAGCAUCAUUAACCAUUUACAUAUUUUUAACAGAUAAGGAGACAUUUGAGACCAUUCCUGCAAAAUCACACGAUAAUCAUUUAGUACAAGAAGAAAGUAACAUCUCUCUCUCUUGUGAAUUUCAAAUGAAGCGCUCAGGACAACCAUUUAUUAUAUAUUGGAUCAAAUAUAAAGAAACAAGCAAAUGCCUGUCUUCUGUUGAGAGAGAGCCAUAUACUUUCUCGUAUAAUACACAUUGCUGUAUUGAUGAGAUGAUCGAAGGACGACUAUUGAACUAUACAAGCUUAGAUUCAAACAAGACACACGUAGUCCAUAAUAUGACCAUCUUGAAUGUUACUUACUCCGACAGUGGAACUUAUUUAUGUGUUGUAAAUGCCUGGUCAAGAGAUAAACAUGUGUGGAAGAUUGCAAAUAACCUUUCUAUAGAAGUGAGGAAGCAAGCCAUUCCAUCCUCUGCUUCCAUGCCAUUGUAUGCCACCACUGGAUUGAUCGUAGGGAUUAUUAUCAUCAGUGGGAUAGCAUGGUUGAUCUAUAACAAGAAAACCAAAUCAAAAGGUAGGAAAAGUAAAAUUAGUAAGUAAGAUCUGCAGAAAUAUUUUAACUGUUGAAACUUUACAGUGUGUUUUAUUUAUCUGUUACAGGAAAGCCAUCUGCACAACUUCCCAGGUACGGCCUUGAAUGGACAUAACCAAUGAAAUAUUAGUAUAAUUUUUAAAGUGUUUUUUCCAACAGAUAGAAAUGACUGAAUAGAUUCGUCCCUUAUCUUUUUAUUUUAGAGCUCAGGAUGCUCUUGAAAUUCCAGGAGAUGAAUGUGAGCAUUAAGUUUUUGAUAAACCUUUUUGAAAUGAUUGUCUACUUAGCACAUUUUGAGAAUU